AGUUAUUCUCCCCUGAAGUCUUGAGACUCCGCUGAGGAAUUUUAUGACAAAAUUUUGAUUUAGAAAUGAAUGAUUUUGAGUCUUUCAAAAGAGAUUUUGAAUUUGGCAUGAUUUUGUGAUUGUUUGGAAGUGUUGGAAAGAUGCUCCAUUUUGAAAAGUGAUUCUUGGCAAGAUGUGAAUUGAGUACAUUUGUUAUUUAAA
Molecule: non-coding RNA, 201 nt
Organism: Arachis ipaensis
Lineage: Eukaryota; Viridiplantae; Streptophyta; Magnoliopsida; Fabales; Fabaceae
Source: RefSeq, a predicted model, not a curated record